Non-coding RNA from Haemonchus contortus (barber pole worm), 77 nucleotides. The record is from Rfam. NCBI's taxonomy places the organism in Eukaryota, Metazoa, Nematoda, Chromadorea, Rhabditida, Trichostrongylidae.
UUCAUGCCCACCUGGAUGUCGAUCUUAGUCAUACGGAUUGAGUUUAUGACUAGAGACACAUUCAGCUGGGCUAAUGC